This 245-nucleotide ribosomal RNA is filed under the name uncultured bacterium. RNAcentral's name for it is "partial 16S ribosomal RNA". It matches the Rfam family "Bacterial small subunit ribosomal RNA", at positions 89 to 334 of the family's 1533-position model. The record is from RNAcentral.
CGUCGACCGGCGCACGGGUAAGUAACGCGUAUCCAACCUGCCCACCACUUGGGGAUAACCUUGCGAAAGUAAGACUAAUACCCAAUGAUAUCUCUAGAAGACAUCUGAAAGAGAUUAAAGAUUCAUCGGUGAUGGAUGGGGAUGCGUCUGAUUAGCUUGUUGGCGGGGUAACGGCCCCCCAAGGCAACGAUCAGUAGGGGUUCUGAGAGGAAGGUCCCCCACAUUGGAACUGAGACACGGUCCAA